RNAcentral lists this ribosomal RNA (254 nucleotides) under uncultured bacterium. RNAcentral's name for it is "partial 16S ribosomal RNA". It matches the Rfam family "Bacterial small subunit ribosomal RNA", at positions 524 to 776 of the family's 1533-position model. The record is from RNAcentral.
UACGGGGGGAGCAAGCGUUGUUCGGAUUUACUGGGCGUAAAGGGCGCGUAGGCGGCCACCGCAAGUCGGUUGUGAAAUCUCUGGGCUUAACCCAGAAAGGUCAACCGAUACUGCGGGGCUAGAGUGCAGAAGGGGCAACUGGAAUUCUCGGUGUAGCGGUGAAAUGCGUAGAUAUCGAGAGGAACACCUGCGGCGAAGGCGGGUUGCUGGGCUGACACUGACGCUGAUGCGCGAAAGCCAGGGGAGCGAACGGG